CGCCCGGUGACCAUAGCGAAUUGGAACCACUCCUUCCCAUCCCGAACAGGACAGUGAAACGAUUCUACGCCGAUGAUAGUGCGGAUUACCCGUGUGAAAGUAGGUAACUGCCGGGCAC
This 118-nucleotide ribosomal RNA is filed under the name Polynucleobacter necessarius. Lineage: Bacteria; Pseudomonadati; Pseudomonadota; Betaproteobacteria; Burkholderiales; Burkholderiaceae. The record is from RNAcentral.